CCUUCGAUAGCUCAGCUGGUAGAGCGGAGGACUGUAAGCUCAGACUCCACGUCUGUGGACAUCCUUAGGUCGCUGGUUCGAUUCCGGCUCGAAGGA
This 96-nucleotide transfer RNA is filed under the name Tupaia belangeri chinensis (Chinese tree shrew). RNAcentral describes it as "Tupaia chinensis (Chinese tree shrew) tRNA". It matches the Rfam family "tRNA". Rfam says of the family: Transfer RNA (tRNA) molecules are approximately 80 nucleotides in length. Their secondary structure includes four short double-helical elements and three loops (D, anti-codon, and T loops). Further hydrogen bonds mediate the characteristic L-shaped molecular structure. tRNAs have two regions of fundamental functional importance: the anti-codon, which is responsible for specific mRNA codon recognition, and the 3' end, to which the tRNAs corresponding amino acid is attached (by aminoacyl-tRNA synthetases). tRNAs cope with the degeneracy of the genetic code in two manners: having more than one tRNA (with a specific anti-codon) for a particular amino acid; and 'wobble' base-pairing, i.e. permitting non-standard base-pairing at the 3rd anti-codon position. The record is from Rfam by way of RNAcentral. Lineage: Eukaryota; Metazoa; Chordata; Mammalia; Scandentia; Tupaiidae.